This 467-nucleotide ribosomal RNA is filed under the name uncultured bacterium. RNAcentral describes it as "partial 16S ribosomal RNA". It matches the Rfam family "Bacterial small subunit ribosomal RNA", at positions 28 to 506 of the family's 1533-position model. The record is from RNAcentral.
GACGAACGCUGGCGGCGUGCUUAACACAUGCAAGUCGAACGGAAAGGCCCUGCUUUUGUGGGGUGCUCGAGUGGCGAACGGGUGAGUAACACGUGAGUAACCUGCCCUUGACUUUGGGAUAACUUCAGGAAACUGGGGCUAAUACCGGAUAGGAGCUCCUGCUGCAUGGUGGGGGUUGGAAAGUUUCGGCGGUUGGGGAUGGACUCGCGGCUUAUCAGCUUGUUGGUGGGGUAGUGGCUUACCAAGGCUUUGACGGGUAGCCGGCCUGAGAGGGUGACCGGCCACAUUGGGACUGAGAUACGGCCCAGACCCCUACGGGAGGCAGCAGUGGGGAAUAUUGCACAAUGGGCGGAAGCCUGAUGCAGCAACGCCGCGUGCGGGAUGACGGCCUUCGGGUUGUAAACCGCUUUCGCCUGUGACGAAGCGUGAGUGACGGUAAUGGGUAAAGAAGCACCGGCUAACUACGU